This 445-nucleotide ribosomal RNA is filed under the name uncultured bacterium. RNAcentral describes it as "bacterial SSU rRNA". It matches the Rfam family "Bacterial small subunit ribosomal RNA", at positions 335 to 798 of the family's 1533-position model. The record is from RNAcentral.
UCCCUACGGGGGGCUGCAGUGGGGAAUCUUGCGCAAUGGGCGAAAGCCUGACGCAGCCAUGCCGCGUGAAUGAUGAAGGUCUUAGGAUUGUAAAAUUCUUUCACCGGGGACGAUAAUGACGGUACCCGGAGAAGAAGCCCCGGCUAACUUCGUGCCAGCAGCCGCGGUAAUACGAAGGGGGCUAGCGUUGCUCGGAAUUACUGGGCGUAAAGGGCGCGUAGGCGGAUCGUUAAGUCAGAGGUGAAAUCCCGGAGCUCAACUUCGGAACUGCCUUUGAUACUGGCGAUCUUGAGUGUGAGAGAGGUAUGUGGAACUCCGAGUGUAGAGGUGAAAUUCGUAGAUAUUCGGAAGAACACCAGUGGCGAAGGCGACAUACUGGCUCAUUACUGACGCUGAGGCGCGAAAGCGUGGGGAGCAAACAGGAUUAGAUACCCUGGUAGUCACC